RNAcentral lists this ribosomal RNA (654 nucleotides) under Leclercia sp. RNAcentral describes it as "bacterial SSU rRNA". It matches the Rfam family "Bacterial small subunit ribosomal RNA", at positions 780 to 1434 of the family's 1533-position model. The record is from RNAcentral. Lineage: Bacteria; Pseudomonadati; Pseudomonadota; Gammaproteobacteria; Enterobacterales; Enterobacteriaceae.
AGAUACCCUGGUAGUCCACGCCGUAAACGAUGUCGACUUGGAGGUUGUUCCCUUGAGGAGUGGCUUCCGGAGCUAACGCGUUAAGUCGACCGCCUGGGGAGUACGGCCGCAAGGUUAAAACUCAAAUGAAUUGACGGGGGCCCGCACAAGCGGUGGAGCAUGUGGUUUAAUUCGAUGCAACGCGAAGAACCUUACCUACUCUUGACAUCCAGAGAACUUAGCAGAGAUGCUUUGGUGCCUUCGGGAACUCUGAGACAGGUGCUGCAUGGCUGUCGUCAGCUCGUGUUGUGAAAUGUUGGGUUAAGUCCCGCAACGAGCGCAACCCUUAUCCUUUGUUGCCAGCGGUUAGGCCGGGAACUCAAAGGAGACUGCCAGUGAUAAACUGGAGGAAGGUGGGGAUGACGUCAAGUCAUCAUGGCCCUUACGAGUAGGGCUACACACGUGCUACAAUGGCGCAUACAAAGAGAAGCGACCUCGCGAGAGCAAGCGGACCUCAUAAAGUGCGUCGUAGUCCGGAUUGGAGUCUGCAACUCGACUCCAUGAAGUCGGAAUCGCUAGUAAUCGUAGAUCAGAAUGCUACGGUGAAUACGUUCCCGGGCCUUGUACACACCGCCCGUCACACCAUGGGAGUGGGUUGCAAAAGAAGUAGGUAGC